AAUUCACACAGACAAAACUAAAGUUCUACGGUCUUCAAGAUGACUAUGUGCUAGAAAGAUCCAGUUGUUUUAGCGAUAAUAAUAAUAAUAAUAAUAAUAAUAAUAAUAAUAAUUUCUAAGUUAAGAUAAAUAUAUCACAUCAUCUUGUGCCGUAGAAAUACAAAAGAUCGUUCUAUUUGUGCAGAGACAAAAAUGUGAAAAGCUAUAGCAUUCACUUUCCUAAAAGGAACAAGUGUUUGCAACCAAAAUCGUUUAACUAAUGAAAAACGUCACAUUGUGUCUCUUAUGUCACCCUAAACUUCAUCUGAUUAAAUUUUCUUCACUCAAGCAUCUCAAAGUUUUUUCUUAAAAACAACUCAGUUGAGCCACCAAUCUUUGAAGUGAAGUAUCAAGCACAACCUACAAAUAAACCAAGAAUAGCACACUCAGUAGAUGGAAAGCAAUUUAUCCUACAAUAUAGUUAUCAUGGCUAACCUUUAAAAGGAAUCGAGAGGACCCAAAUGACAAAGAAACAAAAGGAAUGAGAUAUAUACUGGUCAUAAUUAUGAAAAUAGGUGCAGAUAAAACUUAUGAAUAUGUAUAUAGCACCGGAUGAGACAAUAGAAGAUUGAUCUUCACACAUGUCAACAUGUACCAUUUAUCAAAAUUCACUUAGAAACAGAAUCAAGCACUCAGAAGAACCAUGUUUUUCCAAGAAAAUGAAAAUUUUAAAAUUCCUCUUUCCUGUGGCCUUACAAAUAAAACUUUUAAAUUCUCAUAAGAGCUUAGUUUCUCAUUUGAAGUAUAGCUUACAUCUUAACUCCAAAGUUAUCAACAAACAAAAGUAUUGUCACACACAUUUUUAUAAGUUAGUCAAAAGUUCUUCUUAAUGUUUAACUCUCCUUGAGCCCUCGCUUGGCUCGAUCAGAAGUUUCUAAAUUCUAUUAACUUAUUUUUGAUUAUGGCUUUUGUUCUUGCUCAGAAGGCCCUAAGCAAUCUUUACCCCAAAACACAAAUGUAGGCGUUCAACUCUUUCUUGAAGAGUCAUACCUAAUUUCCAUCACAGACUAUAUAAAUAAGUCCGAUUGUUACCUAUCAUGAUAUUGUAGGAAGACAACUUACAUUUAUUACUUUUAGAAAAAGCUCCACCAACGUGUUAUUUUAACUUUAUCCAUAUCAAUUGAUCCACAAAAGUUAGUGCAUCUAUGUGCAUCAGCAAUUGAAAUACAGAAAGUGAUGAUAUUAAUCACAGAAUAAAAACCUUGAAAUUCUAUUGACUGACCUGGGAUUUUUAGUUCAUAUAGACCAGGCACGCAUUUCCAUCACUGCACACCUAAAAAUCUAGAAUGGAUCAGAAAGAAAAAUCAGCAAGUAGAGAAUUGAAUGAUUUUUAAUAACAAUAGUUACUAAAAAUAGUUCUUGCAUUUAAAUGAAUAUUAACCUUUUCUUG
This 1429-nucleotide long non-coding RNA is filed under the name Nicotiana tabacum (common tobacco). RNAcentral's name for it is "long non-coding RNA (NTAB_LNC018346)". Lineage: Eukaryota; Viridiplantae; Streptophyta; Magnoliopsida; Solanales; Solanaceae. The record is from RNAcentral.